UACCAGCACCCCGAGUGGUCGGGACGUUUAUUGGGCCUAAAGCAUCCGUAGCCGGCUCUACAAGUCUUCCGUUAAAUCCACCUGCUUAACAGAUGGGCUGCGGAAGAUACUAUAGAGCUAGGAGGCGGGAGAGGCAAGCGGUACUCGAUGGGUAGGGGUAAAAUCCGUUGAUCCAUUGAAGACCACCAGUGGCGAAGGCGGCUUGCCAGAACGCGCUCGACGGUGAGGGAUGAAAGCUGGGGGAGCAAACCGG
Molecule: ribosomal RNA, 253 nt
Filed under: uncultured bacterium
Lineage: Bacteria
Description: partial 16S ribosomal RNA
Rfam family: Archaeal small subunit ribosomal RNA
Source: RNAcentral